This 246-nucleotide ribosomal RNA is filed under the name uncultured bacterium. Its description in RNAcentral is "partial 16S ribosomal RNA". It matches the Rfam family "Bacterial small subunit ribosomal RNA", at positions 524 to 769 of the family's 1533-position model. The record is from RNAcentral.
UACGUAGGGUGCGAGCGUUAAUCGGAAUUACUGGGCGUAAAGCGUGCGCAGGCGGCGCGUUAAGACAGGUGUGAAAGCCCCCGAGCUUAACUUGGGAAUUGCGCUUGUGACUGGCGUGCUGGAGUGUGGCAGAGGGAGGUGGAAUUCCACGUGUAGCAGUGAAAUGCGUAGAGAUGUGGAGGAACACCGAUGGCGAAGGCAGCCUCCUGGGCCAGCACUGACGCUCAUGCACGAAAGCGUGGGAGC